UAACAGACAUAUGGUAUUAUUUGAAACUCCUGCAACCCUUUUUAAGGUUUUAGAUGAAGGAAAGCCUGGUUGCACUCUCUUGAUGGAAAGAGCUUCAGAGCUGCAGUUCUGUUGGAAAUUGGCAUGCUGUUGUUGCAACACCAUUACUGGUUGCCUUUGAACUUCUCCAUUAUGUAUAUCUGGAGGGCAUCUAUGUGAAAAGGCAUGCACUAAUAGGAUGACCUUCCCAUGGUCCUAUUCAUUUCAAGGCUCCUGCUAGGAUCCUUUGGAGUACUUUCCCUAGGUUUAAUGAACUUGUUUCUGACAUGUAAUGCUACUUGAAGUGACCUUCAUAUUCACAAGCGAUGAGUCCCUACUUCCCUAAGAAAGCCUCCUACAUCGAUUAUAUUGUUUGGAUAAAU
Long non-coding RNA from Papaver somniferum (opium poppy), 401 nucleotides. RefSeq lists it as uncharacterized. The record is from RefSeq and is a predicted model, not a curated record. NCBI's taxonomy places the organism in Eukaryota, Viridiplantae, Streptophyta, Magnoliopsida, Ranunculales, Papaveraceae. The transcript is spliced from 3 exons.